Molecule: ribosomal RNA, 253 nt
Filed under: uncultured bacterium
Lineage: Bacteria
Description: partial 16S ribosomal RNA
Rfam family: Bacterial small subunit ribosomal RNA
Source: RNAcentral
UACGUAGGGUGCGAGCGUUGUCCGGAAUUACUGGGCGUAAAGGGCGCGUAGGCGGUGUGUCAAGUCAGGCGUGAAAGCCCCGGGCUCAACCUGGGAACCGCGCUUGAGACUGGCACGCUCGAGUUCGGGAGAGGAUGGUGGAAUUCCCAGUGUAGAGGUGAAAUGCGUAGAUAUUGGGAGGAACACCGGUGGCGAAGGCGGCUGCCUGGACCGGUACUGACGCUGAGGCGCGAAAGCUAGGGUAGCAAACAGG